This 1259-nucleotide long non-coding RNA is filed under the name Linum usitatissimum (flax). RNAcentral describes it as "long non-coding RNA (LUSI_LNC005542)". Lineage: Eukaryota; Viridiplantae; Streptophyta; Magnoliopsida; Malpighiales; Linaceae. The record is from RNAcentral.
UCUGUCUGUCUUGUUGGUGUUCAUCGUCUAUGUACGGAUCUCUCCUCUCUCUAUGUAUAUACAUAUAUGGUUGGCUUAUUAAGUUUGCUACAUCAUACUUUCACCUAAAGCUUGAUUUAGGCUCCAAUUGUCAAGACUGGGUAGAAAGAAAGGGAGAAAGAAGUUAUAAUUGGGCUCCAAUUCUCACCAAUAUUUAAGGUGGAUACAUCACAACUCUAACACAGUCCUUGCAGAUUGACUUAUUGCAUCUAUAUCCUAUUAACACAAUGUGUCUGCUUGCUUUCGUAGCCACUACUUCUUGUAUUGUCGCCAUCCACGAUAUACUGUUGUAACUUGUAAAGUUUCUUUUCACCAUUUCCAUUGCCAUUGCCAUUGCAUUCAUUGUUUGGGACUCUAUGCUCUGAGACCUUGCACUCAGUCAUCAGUUUAUGAAGCAUUAUAUUUGGACUCAUCAUGAGUGGACUUGCGACAGAAACCAAAGAAAAUUAUGAUUGAACAGACAAUUCUGAAUCCCGUGGUAUGAUCAUAAUCAUAUGAUUGAAUCUACUGAUCGACACACAGAAACUAAAUGAAUCUCAUCAAGUGGGUCUCUCACUCUCAGCCAUGUCUUCCCCGAGGAGAUUUGCUUCCAAAAACUGCUCCUGCAGCAAUUCCAAUGUCAAUUACAUUUGUAACAUUAGUGGUGCAUGCAUGCAGUUAUAAUUAUAAGAGACAGAGUUAACUGCAUCAACUUCUUAUAUAGCAUUAUAAGCAAAACAUAUAAAGAAGGAAAUAUAUAUAAGUACCUUUACUGGGUUGAACAAGUAGUCGGCGGGCAGAGGAAAUCUGAGCACCGACUAAAAUUACCAUUAUCAGCAGCAGCAGCAGCAGCAGCAGCAGCAGAGUCUUGUUGAUGUUCAUAUCGAUCAGCUACCUUAUGUACUGAGAACUUCUCAGUGACAAGCACAAACAUUAUACGGUAUUAUAUAUGCGAUCCAUCUGUAUAAAAAAGUGCGAGAUUCCGCGUCUGAUCCAAUAGCCAUCGAUGAGGACUUGAGUUCCCAAAAUGACGAGUAGUCGUUAAUUUGACGGGACAGAGCAGGCCCAGCCGACCAACCCACCCACCACCACCCGCCUAAUUAUUAUUCAUUUAUUCCAUGGACUGCUGCUUUAUCACGUUGUAGUGCUACUCGUAUUUUUUUCCGACAAUCAAUCAGGAUUUAUAAAUGAAUAUAUAGGUGAUUUUAAGAUAGUAAUAAUUUUCGUAUAAUGUAUGAGUG